CCCUUAGAGUUUGAUCCUGGCUCAGGAUGAACGCUGGCGGCGCGCCUAACACAUGCAAGUCGAACGGCACCCAUCCUCGGAUGGAAGCGAGUGGCGAACGGCUGAGUAACACGUGGAGAACCUGCCCCCUCCCCCGGGAUAGCCGCCCGAAAGGACGGGUAAUACCGGAUACCCCGGGGUGCCGCAUGGCACCCCGGCUAAAGCCCCGACGGGAGGGGAUGGCUCCGCGGCCCAUCAGGUAGACGGCGGGGUGACGGCCCACCGUGCCGACAACGGGUAGCCGGGUUGAGAGACCGACCGGCCAGAUUGGGACUGAGACACGGCCCAGACUCCUACGGGAGGCAGCAGUGGGGAAUCUUGCGCAAUGGGGGGAACCCUGACGCAGCGACGCCGCGUGCGGGACGGAGGCCUUCGGGUCGUAAACCGCUUUCAGCAGGGAAGAGUCAAGACUGUACCUGCAGAAGAAGCCCCGGCUAACUACGUGCCAGCAGCCGCGGUAAUACGUAGGGGGCGAGCGUUAUCCGGAUUCAUUGGGCGUAAAGCGCGCGUGGGCGGCCCGGCAGGCCGGGGGUCGAAGCGGGGGGCUCAACCCCCCGAAGCCCCCGGAACCUCCGCGGCUUGGGUCCGGUAGGGGAGGGUGGAACACCCGGUGUAGCGGUGGAAUGCGCAGAUAUCGGGUGGAACACCGGUGGCGAAGGCGGCCCUCUGGGCCGAGACCGACGCUGAGGCGCGAAAGCUGGGGGAGCGAACAGGAUUAGAUACCCUGGUAGUCCCAGCCGUAAACGAUGGACGCUAGGUGUGGGGGGACGAUCCCCCCGUGCCGCAGCCAACGCAUUAAGCGUCCCGCCUGGGGAGUACGGCCGCAAGGCUAAAACUCAAAGGAAUUGACGG
This 891-nucleotide ribosomal RNA is filed under the name uncultured bacterium. Its description in RNAcentral is "bacterial SSU rRNA". It matches the Rfam family "Bacterial small subunit ribosomal RNA", at positions 1 to 916 of the family's 1533-position model. The record is from RNAcentral.